Molecule: ribosomal RNA, 246 nt
Filed under: uncultured bacterium
Lineage: Bacteria
Description: partial 16S ribosomal RNA
Rfam family: Bacterial small subunit ribosomal RNA
Source: RNAcentral
GUAGGGAGCGAGCGUUGUCCGGAUUUACUGGGUGUAAAGGGUGCGUAGGCGGCCCUGCAAGUCAGAAGUGAAAUCCAUGGGCUUAACCCGUGAACUGCUUUUGAAACUGCAGGACUUGAGUGGAGUAGAGGUAGGCGGAAUUCCUGGUGUAGCGGUGAAAUGCGUAGAGAUCGGGAGGAACACCAGUGGCGAAGGCGGCCUACUGGGCUUUAACUGACGCUGAAGCACGAAAGCGUGGGUAGCAAA